CAAGCUUCCCAAAAUCAAACUUCGCAUUCAAAAUUGUCUCUCCUGAACCCUAGCUUCUUUAUGCUGCAGAGGUCCCUGAAGCAUCCAGAAGAGAGGUAAGCGGUAGUGGUCUUCUGAUUUGAAAAGAUCACUCGGAUUCCAUGGUAGAUAAUGGAAUGGUUGGAGAAAGGACUGAAGUGGAUGCUGAUGCUGCAGUGAACCCCUCAAUAAUCAGCAUAACUGCAUGGUCUUGCUAUAUCGUCCAGGAUGACCUAAACUCCCAGCCUCAAGCAAUCCUCCUGCCACAGCCUCCCAAAGUGCUGUAAUUCAUGAAAUCACAGCAUGAGCCACCACGCCCAGUGCUAUUUGUUAUGUAAAAUGCUCAAAAUGGUUUUCUUAUUCUUAUUAUCUCAACAGGUAAUAUUCUUAUAUUCUUUUUUUGAUACAGUAUACACUAAAAUAUUGAAAGACACAUAAUGUCAAAGUUACCUGCUGUCCUGUGAGAAUACUUACCUAAUUUUUAGUCUUGUACAUCAAUGAUAAUAAGAGCUCACACUAAUACAACAUUUACUAUCUCACUGACAUAUCUUAAUAAAUAUAAACUCGUUUCUUUUUCCAAAGAAAAUAAAGACAUAACUAUUAUCAGUAUCCUACAUUCUGUGUACCUCCAUAAAACCUGUUGUGAUAAAGAAUUAGAUAUGCUGUAUCUGAAGAAGAGGAGGUUAAAGAACAGUGUUUUACAUAAAUGACUCAGUCCUUAUCCUACAGAAAUUGCAUUUUUAAUUGAAUCUGCCAUUAAUUUUCUAAUGAAUAAGAUGAUAUUUUAUAUGCAUAUAUGUAUUGAAUGUACCUCCUGGAAAAUGAAAGGUUUACUUCCUUGAGGAAACCAGUUACUGUUGAGAUUAUGCAGUUUGUCCAAAAUUGCCUUUAUGUCUCCAGGCCACAUGUGCUUGGAAGCAUCAAGUCUGAACCCUGCAACUCCCAUGUCAAUGAGCUUGUUCAUAUAUUCGGCAAUCUCGGAACGCACAUAAUCCUUCUCCAGCGCAAGAUCAAGAAGACCACUCAGACGACAAUCUCUGACCUGUUGAGCUUUUGUAUACUACAGAGGGUCCUGAAGCAUCCAGAAGAGAGGUAAACAGAAUUUUUUGACAUGUUUAGGGUCAUAGGCUUACCCUGUCUCAGUUAAGACUUUGGACUGUGAACUUUUGAGUUAACGCUGAAAUGAGUGAAGACUUUAGAGGACUGCUGGGAAGUCACGAUUGAUUUUGAAAUGAGGUUCCCCACACAAGUUCUCUUCUCUUGUCUGCCAACAUGUGAGAUGUACGUUUCACCUCUGUCAUGAUUAUGAAGCCUCCCCAGCCACAUGGAACUGCAAAACUCCAGGAUCUGAUCCAGCAAAAAUUUCUACAUCAGCUUUGUCGGAUCUCAGUUCAGCUACAGCCUCUGGAGCAAGUGGGAUGCCUGCCUGUCCAUUCAUGGUUGCCUAAGCCACAGGAAAGAAGAAACACUUUUUCUCUUCCCUCCUGGUUCAGUGUCUGGGACCCUACAAAUUAAACUGACCACAGAAAGGGUAACAAGAAAAAAAAAUUAAUGAUGUACAUACACAUGGAAAUUCACAAAGAAAUGUGAUGCAAAGAGGCAAUUAGAAUUUGGGGUGUGUAUCUUAGACUAGCCAAAGAAAACAAGUUUAGGGCUGCUUGGUGCAGGAGGUAAGUUAUGGGAAAGCAGGGGGAGGAACUGUAUUCUAAAUAAGGAUUGUUUAAUAAGGUUUCUUAUGCAGAUAAGUCAUCAGCUAUUAAGAGUUGUCUAUGGAGUAGUUUUCUCACAAGUAUGCUAGAGGGAGGCACCUUUACAUACUGAAAUUUAAUUAUUGCUUUUAGAAAGGGGAAAGUCAGAGAGCUAAUUGCUUUCUGCCCAAAAAGUUAUUAUACCAAAGUGACAUCUUUUGGAGGGGCAUAUUUUGGUCCACUUCAGGAUAUUUUACUGGAUGCAAUUCUAUAUUUUAAUGUAUUAUAGUGAUAUUCAUCAUAAGAUAGGAGAACACUUUAUUUCUUCUACAAAGAUAGCAGUAUCACAAAAUCAUUAGUUCCUGCUAGAAUGUGGGGCUUUAUUUAAAUUUAUAGCAUGCUUCAGUUGUCAUUUGACUGACAGCUAACUCGAGAGAUAAUUCUACUUUUCCCUACCCAUGGUAUAAAAAUAGUAAGCAGGAAGCAGGUUGUCAUACAAAUCAGUAAUUUUGACAUAUGCCAGUUGAAGCCUGGAGUGAACUUUGACAAAUACAGGUUCAUGGAAAUCUAAAGCCAUUCAAACGUUGGUAGUCCUAUGUGCUAGUGAGUGAACUAUGAUGGAAUUUAGUUUCAUUUAAAUUACAAACCUGGAGGCUGGGGGAGUAGGGAAGCAAACUAUAAACGUAGUAUACACUAAAACUGAAUAAAUUAAUUCUGUAGUAAUAUUAAUAAAGGGACUGAUAAUUACUUCAUAGAAUUUCCCAGUGAUAACAUAUAAUUACCUUGCAUAAGUAGAGAUAUGUUUAUAUUCAGAGAUGACGUUGCUGGUAUUAAUAUAUCAAAUCUAAUAGGAAAGUCUUGAUAGAAAAUGGAUUCUUCUGUUAUUGGAUACAUUCUACCCUGUCAUUCUAUUUUUCACUAGUAUUCCAUAAAUGUGCUUCUCUAGCCUCACCGAUUAACUGAUCUAUUCCCUGUCACUCGUUUCAUUAAUUCCUUUGGGCUUUUGUCAUGCUUUUUCUUCUUUGGGAAUCAAUUUCUCUCCGUUCUCUUCCUUACAAAUCUCCCUCAUCCAUCUCAAGACCUUCCUUUAUCAUUAAGCUUUCCCAGGUCAUUUCAGCAUGUGUACUAUCCCCUUCCAUUGAAACCAAACAACCUAUUUCCUUACUUUAUUAUGCAUCAUUUUAACUAUUCCUCUGCAUUCUUAUUAACACAUCAUAUAGUUAUAUUUUGCAUUGCCAACUAUCCUCUGAACUUCAACAUGGGUUACAUGUUUCUAAGCACCUAAAAGAGUGCUGCAAAAAAUACAUAUACGUUUCAUUGGUUUGAUGGGGGUCUUCACUGCAAUGUACAGAUUUAUUUAAUUUUGCUUGAGGUCAUAGAGCACACAUAAGAUAUCUGAUCAUAAUACCUAAGCAUAACAAACCUGAUGCUAAAGUUUAAGAAUUAGACUUUCCUAUAAAUUUUAUGACCUAGAACUAAAUUAGAAACAACAUUAAAGUUAAGACAGCAUUUUGUGUCAUCCAGCUUUCAGCUAACAGCACACACAGACUGAAUAUGGCAAGACUUCAAACAAGAAUAUAUUAUUUUCUGCUCCAAUUCCAAUGCUUUGUGAUUUUUUUUCUUUGAGUUAGAUUUUAGGAGAGUAUCAGUACUGUGCUGGCCCAAAGUACUGAGAAUAACAGUUACAUGUUUUUUUUGUUUGUUUGUUUGCUUUUUUUUUUUUUUUUUGAGAUGGAGUC
Molecule: non-coding RNA, 3445 nt
Organism: Macaca mulatta (Rhesus monkey)
Lineage: Eukaryota; Metazoa; Chordata; Mammalia; Primates; Cercopithecidae
Source: RefSeq, a predicted model, not a curated record